GGACCUGUAAAUCUCUGUGAAUUCUGCUUAUGCAGUCAGAACAUAAGGAGGUAACGGCUAGUAGCCGCCACUAUGUUGAUAGAUUAUUUGACCUCGAUCCUCAGAAAGUCCUGCAAGGUGUCAUAGAUAUGAAAAAUGCUGUAAUUGGAAACAACAAACAAAAAGCCAACUUGAUUGUUUUGGGAGCAGUUCCAAGGUUGCUGUAUUUACUUCAGCAAGAAACCUCCAGCGCAGAACUGAGAACAGAAUGCGCAGUGGUCCUCGGAAGCCUUGCAAUGGGUACAGAGAAUAAUGUCAAAUCCCUACUAGACUGCCAUAUUAUCCCAGCCUUAUUGCAAGGAUUACUGUCGCCAGAUUUGAAGUUUAUUGAAGCUUGCCUGCGGUGUCUCCGUACCAUUUUCAUCAGUCCUGUAACUCCAGAGGAUCUACUAUAUACAGAUGCUACAGUUAUCUCCCACCUCAUGGCACUGCUCAGUAGGUCUCGAUAUACACAAGAAUACAUAUGUCAGAUCUUCUCACAUUGCUGCAAACUUCAACACUGGCAUAGCUGCGGCUUUAAAUCAUUGCCUCAGCCACUUCUGUGUGCCAAUGGUCCAGAUCACCAGACAAUCUUAUUCAACCAUGGAGCUGUUCAGAAUAUCGCACAUCUGUUAGUCUCCACCUCCUACAAAGUUCGAAUGCAAGCAUUGAAAUGCUUCUCAGUUCUAGCCUUUGAAAACCCCCAGGUAUCAGUGACUCUUGUAAAUGUGUCGGUUGAUGGAGAAUUGUUACCGCAAAUUUUUGUGAAGAUGUUACAAAGGGACAAGCCUAUUGAAAUGCAGCUCACAUCAGCCAAAUGCCUUACUUCCAUGUGCAGAGCUGGAGCAAUACGGACAGAUGAUUCUUGCAUCGUUCUUAAGACUCUGCCAUGUUUGGUUCGAAUGUGUAGUAAGGAAAGACUGCUGGAGGAGCGAGUGGAAGGAGCAGAAACACUGGCCUAUUUGAUUGAAACAGAUGUGGAGCUCCAGAGAAUUGCCAGCAUUACCGACCACCUCAUUGUCAUGCUUGCUGACUACUUCAAGUAUCCCAGCUCAGUGAGUGCAAUCACUGAUAUCAAGAGGCUUGACCAUGAUUUGAAGCAUGCCCAUGAACUGCGCCAGGCUGCUUUCAAGCUCUAUGCUUCCCUGGGAGCAAAUGAUGAAGAUAUUCGAAAAAAGAUCAUUGAGACCGAAAAUAUGAUGGACCGUAUUGUUAAUGGCUUGUCUGAAUCUAGUAUCAAGGUGCGAUUAGCUGCAGUCAGAUGUUUGCACAGUUUGUCCCGUUCUGUACAGCAGCUCAGGACAAGUUUUCAGGAUCAUGCUGUAUGGAAACCUUUAAUGAAGGUUUUACAGAAUGCUCCAAAUGAAAUUCUUGUAGUAGCAUCUUCCACGCUAUGCAAUCUUCUUCUGGAAUUCUCUCCAAGCAAGGAGCCUAUUUUAGAAUCGGGAGCCAUAGAACUUCUAUGUAGUUUAACACAGAGUGAAAAUCUUGCCUUGCGAGUGAACGGCAUUUGGGCUUUAAUGAAUAUGGCAUUUCAAGCAGAACAGAAGAUCAAAUCAGACAUUUUACGAGGUCUGAGUACAGAGCAGUUAUUCCAGUUGCUUUCUGAUUCUGAUGUAAAUGUUCUCAUGAAAACUUUGGGACUGCUCAGGAAUCUUCUAUCUACUCGCCCACACAUAGACCAUAUAAUGAGCACUCAUGGGAAGCAAAUCAUGCAAGCAGUGACCCUUAUUCUGGAAGGGGAGCACAAUAUAGAAGUCAAAGAACAGACAUUAUGUAUACUUGCCAAUAUAGCAGAUGGAACAACAGCAAAAGAACUGAUUAUGACCAAUGAUGAUAUCCUGCAGAAAAUCAAAUACUACAUGAGUCAUUCAAAUGCUAAACUUCAGCUUGCUGCCAUGUUCUGUAUAUCUAAUCUUAUAUGGAAUGAAGAAGAAGGUUCACAAGAACGCCAAGAUAAACUACGAGACAUGGGAAUAGUAGAUAUUCUACAUAAAUUGAGUCAGUCAUCGGAUCCAAAUCUGUGUGACAAGGCGAAGACAGCACUCCAGCAGUAUCUUGCAUGAUCAAAGACUAAUUGAAUCUAUGGACACCCCUCACGUCUACUUAAGGAAUAGCAGGAGAUAUUCCUGACUCCUUAUAUUUGCACAAGUCACCUUGGGCUGCAUUUUUCUCAGGUGCAGGGAGCUGCUUUGCAGAAACAGUUUAAAUGAUCAGGUCUCCAGUGCACUUGAGAAUUUUCUUGAGCUCAGUGAUGUUGCUACGGAUUUUGUGUAUAUAUGCAGAUAUACACACUUGCAUGGAUUUGGAUACCUGGAUAAUAAGCAAUGGGAUUUUACUGUGUUCAGAAGCCUAGAUUGUCCAUAAGUUCCUGAAAUUGUGCCUGUAAGUGUGGAGAAAAAAAUAUGAGUACAAAUGAAGACAGCUGCGUAAGGUUAGGCUGGAAUAGGAGACCCCGGUGGCUUCACAUUCAAAUAUGCAUAGAAACAAAUGAGGGCAGCAAGGAGCUCUCCUUCGUGCAGUUCAGGGUUCUUGCUUUCUUCCCGUCUACUUUCUGAUUUCAGUUUAGACCAUAGUUUUAAUAGUCAGAAUCUCCAAACACUAUAUUUACAAAGCACUAACAGGCAUGCUAAAGAUUGCAGCCGGUGUCUUAAACCAAAUCUUUCUUUUGUUACGUUCAACUUCAGGAGGGCUGCAGCAAGAAGAGAGGUCUGUAACUUUGCUAACCAAUUUUGAUAAGUAUCUUAAUCUUUUAUUUCUAAUCAGAAGGUCAAAUUGUGAUAGCCUUACUUUUUUCCAAAGUAACUACUUGUGUCAGAAAAUGUGACCACAGUUUGGCCUGGAAUUUGAAUGUGCUGUGUAUCAGAUAACUGUUAUCACUUGGUUGCAAAGGAGAAUAUAUACAUUUCAUGUAACUUCUUCCACUCUUGAAAGACAAAUAAAAGUGAGCACCUGACACUUUUUCCCCAGGCAUUGCAGUAAGUGACUGGCAGUUUUUUAAUGUCCUUCUGCAAAUUUUUGAUGAUGGACUUUGGGGGCUGAAUAAAAGGGAAAGUAAAAAUAUGUGAGAACUUGAUAAAUAUCAGUACCUCGGAAGUGAAGUCUUCUUUAUAAAAUUCAAUCAAAUAUAUUUUUGCUUGAACUGAGAAAAAAGUUCUGAGGCAAGUAGUGUAAACGCAAAACUGUACCGCAUGCAUCAGACUUGUAAAUUUGCACUCCUGCUGUGUACGUUUAGGAGCUCAAGUUCUUACAUAUCUCUUCUCAUCCUCCCCCAAUUCACGUUUCUAAAAGCAAAUCUGAGUUUGAUUCUAUAAAACUUCGGUGCCUAAAGGUGUUCAGAAAAAAGGUGAGUAAGUAUCUGUGAACAAGUUUUGAGGUGGUUUCCUAAAAUUCUACCAGAAAACCUAAAAAACAAUGCUCAGACAAUCUUGUUGCUGCAUGAGAACAGUUGACAUUUUUCGCAGAUAUUGAUAGGACAAACUGUUGGAUGAGAACAUUUUUACAUUCAGUUAAGCUUUGUGAAUAAUUUUUGAUGUUGCUAUAGGUAUGUACAAAAAGAAGAAUACUGUAAAUAAAAAUAAUUUUACCAGAA
This is an RNA transcript of Haliaeetus leucocephalus (bald eagle), 3610 nucleotides long. It is a transcript of the gene named armadillo repeat containing 8, with no coding region annotated. The record is from RefSeq and is a predicted model, not a curated record. NCBI's taxonomy places the organism in Eukaryota, Metazoa, Chordata, Aves, Accipitriformes, Accipitridae. The transcript is spliced from 24 exons.